AUGCAAGUCGAGGGGCAGCAUGGUCUUAGCUUGCUAAGACUGAUGGCGACCGGCGCACGGGUGAGUAACGCGUAUCCGACCUUCCCUUUGCUUGGGGAUAGCCCAGUGAAAACUGGAUUAAUACCCGAUGUAGUCCAGCUGGCGCAUGUUAUCUGGACUAAAGAUUUAUCGGCAGAGGAUGGGGAUGCGUCCGAUUAGCUUGACGGCGGGGUGACGGCCCACCGUGGCAACGAUCGGUAGGGGUUCUGAGAGGAAGGUCCCCCACACUGGAACUGAGACACGGUCCAGACUCCUACGGGAGGCAGCAGUGAGGAAUAUUGGUCAAUGGGCGGGAGCCUGAACCAGCCAAGUAGCGUGAAGGAUGACUGCCCUACGGGUUGUAAACUUCUUUUAUGGGGGAAUAGCCGCCGCUACGCGUAGCGGCCUGCAUGUACCCCAUGAAUAAGCAUCGGCUAAUUCCGUGCCAGCAGCCGCGGUAAUACGGAAGAUGCGAGCGUUAUCCGGAUUUAUUGGGUUUAAAGGGUGCGUAGGCGGGGAUGUA
This 541-nucleotide ribosomal RNA is filed under the name uncultured rumen bacterium. RNAcentral describes it as "bacterial SSU rRNA". It matches the Rfam family "Bacterial small subunit ribosomal RNA", at positions 55 to 585 of the family's 1533-position model. The record is from RNAcentral.